Molecule: ribosomal RNA, 495 nt
Filed under: uncultured bacterium
Lineage: Bacteria
Description: partial 16S ribosomal RNA
Rfam family: Bacterial small subunit ribosomal RNA
Source: RNAcentral
GACGAACGCUGGCGGCGUGCCUAAUACAUGCAAGUAGAACGCUGAAGGAGGAGCUUGCUUCUCUGGAUGAGUUGCGAACGGGUGAGUAACGCGUAGGUAACUUGCCUGGUAGCGGGGGAUAACUAUUGGAAACGAUAGCUAAUACCGCAUAAGAGUAGAUGUCGCAUGACAUUUGCUUAAAAGGUGCAAUUGCAUCACUACCAGAUGGACCUGCGUUGUAUUAGCUAGUUGGUGAAGUAACGGCUCACCAAGGCAACGAUACAUAACCGACCUGAGAAGGGGGAUGGCCACACAGGGACUGAGACAAGGUCCAGACCCCUGAGGGAAGCAGCAGGAGGGGAUCCUAGGGAAAGGACGGAAGUCCGAACGAGGAACCCCGCGGGAGGGAAGAAAGUUCUCGGAUCGGAAAGCUCGGUUGUAUGAGAAGAAAGAGAGUGAGAGUGGAAAGUUCACACUGUGACGGUAUCUUACCAGAAAGGCACGGCUAACUACGUG